Molecule: long non-coding RNA, 277 nt
Organism: Phyllostomus hastatus (greater spear-nosed bat)
Lineage: Eukaryota; Metazoa; Chordata; Mammalia; Chiroptera; Phyllostomidae
Exons: 3
Source: RefSeq, a predicted model, not a curated record
CAGGCAGAGAAGGUCCAUGCUUGCUGGCAGAAGUGUGUAGCAGCUACAGGAGGACAAUGUUCAUGGUGUCACAAGGUCACGGCAGGAGAAGAUACCUGCUUUGGGACUUACGCAAAUAAGUGCUGAGCUAAACUGUUUUUGCCGAAGCUCGACCAGUAAACACUCCCCUUAACAGGUAGUCCAGGAUUAUCUUGAAUAUUCCCUGCUCCAAUCCUGUAACCAACCAUUUCUCUGAGAAUGCCUAGCUCCCCGUAUUGGAGGAUGGUGUUUACAAACC